ACUCUAGUCUGACUCUGUGAAAAGACAUGAGAGGUGUAGAAUAAGUGGGAGUAGCAAUACGUCGGUGAAAUACCACUACUCUUAUCGUUUUUUUACUUAUUCGAUGAAGCGGAAGCGAACCGCAAGGUUCACGUUCUGGAUUUAAGGUCUCUCUUUUGCAGACCGAUCCGUGUCGAAGACACUGUCAGGUUGGGAGUUUGGCUGGGGCGGCACAUCUGUCAAACGAUAACGCAGGUGUCUUAAGGUGAGCUCAAUGAGAACAGAAAUCUCAUGUAGAACAAAAGGGUAAAAGCUCACUGAUUAUGAUUUUCAGUAUGAAUACAAACUGUGAAAGCAUGGCCUAUCGAUCCUUUAGUCUUUAGGAGUUUUAAGCUAGAGGUGUCAGA
Molecule: ribosomal RNA, 386 nt
Filed under: Nematostella vectensis (starlet sea anemone)
Lineage: Eukaryota; Metazoa; Cnidaria; Anthozoa; Actiniaria; Edwardsiidae
Description: Eukaryotic large subunit ribosomal RNA
Rfam family: Eukaryotic large subunit ribosomal RNA
Source: Rfam by way of RNAcentral